RNAcentral lists this ribosomal RNA (637 nucleotides) under Platystethus arenarius. RNAcentral's name for it is "eukaryotic LSU rRNA". It matches the Rfam family "Eukaryotic large subunit ribosomal RNA", at positions 664 to 1263 of the family's 3401-position model. Lineage: Eukaryota; Metazoa; Arthropoda; Insecta; Coleoptera; Staphylinidae. The record is from RNAcentral.
GACCAAGGAGUCUAGCAUGUGCGCGAGUCAUUGGGACUUGAUAAACCUAAAGGCGUAAUGAAAGUAAAGGUUUGCCUUGCGCAAACUUAGGGAAGAUGAUUUGCACUUCGGUGUGAGUCCGCAUUCCCGGGGCGUCUCGUGCUCAUUGCGAGUUGAGGCGCACUCAGAGCGUACACGCUGGGACCCGAAAGAUGGUGAACUAUGCCUGGUCAGGACGAAGUCAGGGGAAACCCUGAUGGAGGUCCGUAGCGAUUCUGACGUGCAAAUCGAUCGUCGGAACUGGGUAUAGGGGCGAAAGACUAAUCGAACCAUCUAGUAGCUGGUUCCCUCCGAAGUUUCCCUCAGGAUAGCUGGCACUCGUUUUAGCGAGUCUCAUCCGGUAAAGCGAAUGAUUAGAGGCAUUGGGGUCGAAACGGCCUCAACCUAUUCUCAAACUUUAAAUGGGUGAGAUCUCCGGCUUGCUUAAAGCAUGAAGCCGCGAGAUCGGAUCAGAGUGCCAAGUGGGCCACUUUUGGUAAGCAGAACUGGCGCUGUGGGAUGAACCAAACGCCGAGUUAAAGCGCCUAAAUCGACGCUUAUGGGAUACCAUGAAAGGCGUUGGUAACUUAAGACAGCAGGACGGUGGCCAUGGAAGUCG